AGAAAAAAAAGAAAAGAGAAGAAACAUAAAAACUGCCUCGGUGAGAGUAGAAAAAACGAUCAAACCACAAAAAAAAAGCCUUUAAUCUUCUCCUUUGUGUAUCAGUCAUCCAAAUUCAAAACUCUGAUCGUCUUCUAGAAAAAACUCAAGCAAUGAUCGAUCUAGCCUGGUCAGGCUGCUGCGUCAAAUGUCGAUCCUUUUCAAUAACCGCAACAGUAUCAGGAGGUACUUCUUCAACCCAGCAUUGAGAGUUCCCUAUUUUGAAACCCAUCCUUGCUAUUGUAUGAGCAACUAAGUUAGAUUCUCGAUCUGCAUGUUGAAAAGAAAUAUAAUCAAAAUUAAGAGCCAUUAUUCUAUUUUCUUUAACAUAAACCCCAAUCGCAGAUCUAUCCAAUACCCCUUUGCACCUUUACGAUUAUCGUUCUAGAAUCUCCUUCCACUACCACCUUCCGGAAUCCCAUAUCUCUAGCAAAAGUAAUGGCAUGCAAGCAUGCCAAGGCCUCAGCUGCGAAAGCAUCUGCGACAUGACUAUAGAGAACCACUCCACUCCCCAUAACCAAUCCCAAAUUGUUCCUGAUGACAACACCAGAACUGCACUGCUUUAAACGUUGGCAAAAUGCCGCAUCAAAAUUCACCUUCACCGCCCUUCUAUCUGGGUGUAGCCAUUUGGACGACAUCAGCCUCUAUUUAAUAGGACCACAUUCUAGAAUAGCAUGUAAAAUUGAUUCUGAACAGUGACCAUAUCUCGGACAAGUUGGAGCAGAGGCAAUUUUUUGAUCGUACAAAAUAUGGGAAGUGGGUAUAGAAUUAUGCAUCAUUCGCCAUGUAGUGAUUUUACUUUUGGUUGGGAUAUCCAAUAGCCGUAGUUUUCUGUAAGUUUCAGUAUUUUACUUUAAGCGACGAUUACUCACACAGGUAGAACGGGUGAGAUGCGACAUUGGGGAGGAAAAGUGUUGCACGGUUUGUGGCACCGCUUUAGAGGACAUCUUCCACGCCCUUGGGGAUUGUGUUGCGGCUAAAGGCGUUUGGUCGAAAAUUAUACCAAUUGACAAGCAACACAGUUCUUUUCAAGUGAUUUAAAGGAAUUUUUUGCGUCAAAUUUCAGAAACAAUUAUAGUUUUUCUUAGUUUUUUUUUUCAAAAAUUACCGAAAUUGACCCAUUAUUUAAUUAUUUACCGGAAUGAUCCAUUUUUUGCGAAAUCGCGUUCACGUUAGCGCGAUGUCAGGGUAUGCGUCAGGAUGCGCUGACGUGGACGCGAUUUCGGCCUGCGCAUGAACAGUACCCAACAGUCAAAAAUUUGACCGUUGCCCUCCAAACAGUCAAAAAAAAACUAUAAAUACCCUCACCCCUUUUUAUUUUUUCACAAACAAAUCUUCUCUCAUAUUUCCUCUCAAUUUCCUCUCAAUUUCUUUCCAAAAUUCUCUCAAUUUCCAUUCAAAAUUCUCUCAAAUCCAUAUUUAAUUUCAAUUUCCUUUUUUAAAAUAAUUUUAAAUUUUUUUAUAUUUUUAUAAAUCGUAAAAAUUUGUACGAUUUCAUCAAUGACCGGAUCAUUGACUCGUCUUAAUAAGCAUCACAUAUCGGUGGAACAAAUGAAAAUAUCUGUAGAUCGAGUAUUGGAAUGCAAUAUCCGGAAUAUGCAUGCUCCUCCAUCACCGUUGGUAGAGAACUACCUGCGGGAAGUGGGUUUUUGGCACGUAGCGACGGUAGGCCGGGGAUGCAGUUGGACCCAAA
Gossypium raimondii (Peruvian cotton) is the source of this 1732-nucleotide long non-coding RNA. RefSeq lists it as uncharacterized. Lineage: Eukaryota; Viridiplantae; Streptophyta; Magnoliopsida; Malvales; Malvaceae. The transcript is spliced from 3 exons. The record is from RefSeq and is a predicted model, not a curated record.